Molecule: transfer RNA, 72 nt
Filed under: Pleuronectes platessa (European plaice)
Lineage: Eukaryota; Metazoa; Chordata; Actinopteri; Pleuronectiformes; Pleuronectidae
Rfam family: tRNA
About the family: Transfer RNA (tRNA) molecules are approximately 80 nucleotides in length. Their secondary structure includes four short double-helical elements and three loops (D, anti-codon, and T loops).
Source: Rfam by way of RNAcentral
GGGGGUAUAGCUCAGUGGUAGAGCAUUUGACUACAGAUCAAGAGGUACCCUGUUCAAAUCUGGGUGCCCCCU